UACGGAGGAUGCGAGCGUUAUCCGGAUUUAUUGGGUUUAAAGGGUGCGUAGGCGGUCGGAUAAGUUAGAGGUGAAAUCCCGAGGCUCAACUUCGGAAUUGCCUCUGAUACUGUUCGGCUAGAGAGUAGUUGCGGUAAGCGGAAUUCCUGGUGUAGCGGUGAAAUGCGUAGAUAUCAGGAGGAACACCGGCGGCGAAGGCGGCUUACUGGACUGUAACUGACGUUGAGGCUCGAAGGCGUGGGGAGCAAACAGG
RNAcentral lists this ribosomal RNA (253 nucleotides) under uncultured Bacteroidales bacterium. RNAcentral describes it as "partial 16S ribosomal RNA". It matches the Rfam family "Bacterial small subunit ribosomal RNA", at positions 524 to 776 of the family's 1533-position model. The record is from RNAcentral. Lineage: Bacteria; Pseudomonadati; Bacteroidota; Bacteroidia; Bacteroidales.